Molecule: ribosomal RNA, 426 nt
Filed under: uncultured bacterium
Lineage: Bacteria
Description: bacterial SSU rRNA
Rfam family: Bacterial small subunit ribosomal RNA
Source: RNAcentral
UGGGGAAUAUUGGACAAUGGGGGAAACCCUGAUCCAGCCAUGCCGCGUGCGGGAAGAAGGCCUUCGGGUUGUAAACCGCUUUUAUUCGGAAAGAAGGAGUGCGGGUUAAUACCUCGCAUGACAGACGGUACCGGAUGAAUAAGCACCGGCUAACUACGUGCCAGCAGCCGCGGUAAUACGUAGGGUGCGAGCGUUAAUCGGAAUUACUGGGCGUAAAGCGUGCGCAGGCGGUUCUGAAAGUCAGCUGUGAAAGCCCCGGGCUUAACCUGGGAAUUGCGGUUGAAACUACAGGGCUAGAAUCUGGCAGAGGGGGGUGGAAUUCCACGUGUAGCAGUGAAAUGCGUAGAGAUGUGGAGGAACACCGAUGGCGAAGGCAGCCCCCUGGGAAAGCACUGACGCUCAAGCACGAAAGCGUGGGGAGCAAAC